AGCUCCAAUAGCGUAUAUUAAUGUUGUUGCAGUUAAAAAGCUCGUAGUUGGAUUUCUGACUGGACGAACCGGCCUAAGUUCUAUGAACUAGUGCUGUGUGUUCUGUCUCGUCAUCCUUGGGCGGAAAGUAUUGGCUAUUCAUUUAGCUGGUUCGGGAAACCCAUCGUUUACUGUGAAAAAAUUAGAGUGUUUAAAGCAGGCAAUCGCCUUGAAUACAUUAGCAUGGAAUAAUAAGAUAGGACUUUGGUACUAUUUUGUUGGUUUGCAUACCGAAGUAAUGAUUAACAGGGACAGUUGGGGGUAUUCGUAUUUAAUUGUCAGAGGUGAAAUUCUUGGAUUUAUGAAAGACGAACUACUGCGAAAGCAUUUACCAAGGAUGUUUUCAUUAAUCAAGAACGAA
RNAcentral lists this ribosomal RNA (400 nucleotides) under phytoplankton environmental sample. RNAcentral describes it as "partial small subunit ribosomal RNA". It matches the Rfam family "Eukaryotic small subunit ribosomal RNA", at positions 587 to 987 of the family's 1831-position model. The record is from RNAcentral.